Molecule: ribosomal RNA, 425 nt
Filed under: uncultured bacterium
Lineage: Bacteria
Description: partial 16S ribosomal RNA
Rfam family: Bacterial small subunit ribosomal RNA
Source: RNAcentral
GUGGGGAAUCUUGCGCAAUGGGCGAAAGCCUGACGCAGCCAUGCCGCGUGAAUGAUGAAGGUCUUAGGAUUGUAAAAUUCUUUCACCGGGGACGAUAAUGACGGUACCCGGAGAAGAAGCUCCGGCUAACUUCGUGCCAGCAGCCGCGGUAAUACGAAGGGGGCUAGCGUUGCUCGGAAUUAUUGGGCGUAAAGGGCGCGUAGGCGGACAGCUUAGUCAGAGGUGAAAGCCCAGGGCUCAACCUUGGAAUUGCCUUUGAUACUGGCUGUCUUGAGUUUGGGAGAGGUGAGUGGAACUCCGAGUGUAGAGGUGAAAUUCGUAGAUAUUCGGAAGAACACCAGUGGCGAAGGCGACUCACUGGCCCAAUACUGACGCUGAGGCGCGAAAGCGUGGGGAGCAAACAGGAUUAGAAACCCGAGUAGUCC